Molecule: non-coding RNA, 49 nt
Organism: Schistosoma curassoni
Lineage: Eukaryota; Metazoa; Platyhelminthes; Trematoda; Strigeidida; Schistosomatidae
Source: Rfam
GCACUGCUGAGGAGUCCCACACUAGGACGAAACGGUCGUCAAACUGUGC